AGGCGACGACGGGUAGCCGGCCUGAGAGGGCGAUCGGCCACACUGGGACUGAGACACGGCCCAGACUCCUACGGGAGGCAGCAGUGGGGAAUAUUGCACAAUGGGCGAAAGCCUGAUGCAGCGACGCCGCGUGAGGGAUGAAGGCCUUCGGGUUGUAAACCUCUUUCAGUAGGGAAGAAGCGAAAGUGACGGUACCUACAGAAGAAGCACCGGCUAACUACGUGCCAGCAGCCGCGGUAAUACGUAGGGUGCGAGCGUUGUCCGGAAUUAUUGGGCGUAAAGAGCUUGUAGGCGGUUUGUCGCGUCUGCCGUGAAAAUCCGGGGCUCAACUCCGGACUUGCGGUGGGUACGGGCAGACUAGAGUGUGGUAGGGGAGACUGGAAUUCCUGGUGUAGCGGUGAAAUGCGCAGAUAUCAGGAGGAACACCGAUGGCGAAGGCAGGUCUCUGGGCCACUACUGACGCUGAGAAGCGAAAGCGUGGGGAGCGAACAGGAUUAGAUACCCUGGUAGUCCACGCCGUAAACGUUGGGAACUAGGUGUGGGUCUCAUUCCACGAGAUCCGUGCCGUAGCUAACGCAUUAAGCGCCCCGCCUGGGGAGUACGGCCGCAAGGCUAAAACUCAAAGAAAUUGACGGGGGCCCGCACAAGCGGCGGAGCAUGUGGAUUAAUUCGAUGCAACGCGAAGAACCUUACCUGGGCUUGACAUAUAGAGGAUCGCUACAGAGAUGUGGUUUCCCUUGUGGCUUCUAUACAGGUGGUGCAUGGUUGUCGUCAGCUCGUGUCGUGAGAUGUUGGGUUAAGUCCCGCAACGAGCGCAACCCUUGUCUUAUGUUGCCAGCACGUUAUGGUGGGGACUCGUGAGAGACUGCCGGGGUCAACUCGGAGGAAG
This 889-nucleotide ribosomal RNA is filed under the name uncultured bacterium. RNAcentral describes it as "bacterial SSU rRNA". It matches the Rfam family "Bacterial small subunit ribosomal RNA", at positions 271 to 1172 of the family's 1533-position model. The record is from RNAcentral.